RNAcentral lists this ribosomal RNA (158 nucleotides) under Ophiostoma ips. RNAcentral's name for it is "5.8S ribosomal RNA". It matches the Rfam family "5.8S ribosomal RNA". Rfam says of the family: 5.8S ribosomal RNA (5.8S rRNA) is a component of the large subunit of the eukaryotic ribosome. It is transcribed by RNA polymerase I as part of the 45S precursor that also contains 18S and 28S rRNA. Lineage: Eukaryota; Fungi; Ascomycota; Sordariomycetes; Ophiostomatales; Ophiostomataceae. RNAcentral also lists the same sequence under 4 other names. The record is from RNAcentral.
AAACUUUCAACAACGGAUCUCUUGGUUCUGGCAUCGAUGAAGAACGCAGCGAACUGCGAUAAGUAAUGUGAAUUGCAGAAUUCAGUGAACCAUCGAAUCUUUGAACGCACAUUGCGCCCGCCAGCAUUCUGGCGGGCAUGCCUGUCCGAGCGUCAUUU